UUCUUUCACCGGAGCUUGCUCCACCGAAAGAAAAAGAGUGGCGAACGGGUGAGUAACACGUGGGUAACCUGCCCAUCAGAAGGGGAUAACACUUGGAAACAGGUGCUAAUACCGUAUAACACUAUUUUCCGCAUGGAAGAAAGUUGAAAGGCGCUUUUGCGUCACUGAUGGAUGGACCCGCGGUGCAUUAGCUAGUUGGUGAGGUAACGGCUCACCAAGGCAACGAUGCAUAGCCGACCUGAGAGGGUGAUCGGCCACACUGGGACUGAGACACGGCCCAGACUCCUACGGGAGGCAGCAGUAGGGAAUCUUCGGCAAUGGACGAAAGUCUGACCGAGCAACGCCGCGUGAGUGAAGAAGGUUUUCGGAUCGUAAAACUCUGUUGUUAGAGAAGAACAAGGAUGAGAGUAGAACGUUCAUCCCUUGACGGUAUCUAACCAGAAAGCCACGGCUAACUACGUGCCAGCAGCCGCGGUAAUACGUAGGUGGCAAGCGUUGUCCGGAUUUAUUGGGCGUAAAGCGAGCGCAGGCGGUUUCUUAAGUCUGAUGUGAAAGCCCCCGGCUCAACCGGGGAGGGUCAUUGGAAACUGGGAGACUUGAGUGCAGAAGAGGAGAGUGGAAUUCCAUGUGUAGCGGUGAAAUGCGUAGAUAUAUGGAGGAACACCAGUGGCGAAGGCGGCUCUCUGGUCUGUAACUGACGCUGAGGCUCGAAAGCGUGGGGAGCGAACAGGAUUAGAUACCCUGGUAGUCCACGCCGUAAACGAUGAGUGCUAAAUGUUGGAGGGUUUCCGCCCUUCAGUGCUGCAGCAAACGCAUUAAGCACUCCGCCUGGGGAGUACGACCGCCAGGUUGAAACUCAAAGGAAUUGACGGGGG
RNAcentral lists this ribosomal RNA (875 nucleotides) under Enterococcus sp. H-VRE-155b-b. RNAcentral describes it as "bacterial SSU rRNA". It matches the Rfam family "Bacterial small subunit ribosomal RNA", at positions 65 to 919 of the family's 1533-position model. The record is from RNAcentral. Lineage: Bacteria; Bacillati; Bacillota; Bacilli; Lactobacillales; Enterococcaceae.